This 441-nucleotide ribosomal RNA is filed under the name uncultured bacterium. RNAcentral's name for it is "partial 16S ribosomal RNA". It matches the Rfam family "Bacterial small subunit ribosomal RNA", at positions 339 to 795 of the family's 1533-position model. The record is from RNAcentral.
CUACGGGUCGCUGCAGUCGAGAAUAUUCCACAAUGGGCGAAAGCCUGAUGGAGCAACGCCGCGUGCGGGAAGAAGGCCCUUGGGUUGUAAACCGCUUUUCUAAAGGAAGAAUUUUUUGACGGUACUUUAGGAAUAAGAGGUUGCUAACUCUGUGCCAGCAGCAGCGGUAAUACAGAGACCUCAAGCGUUAUCCGGAUUUAUUGGGCGUAAAGAGCAUGUAGGCGGAUAUAUUAGUCAGAUGUCAAAUCUUCGAGCUCAACUCGAAAACUGCAUUUGAAACGGUAUAUCUUGAGGAAGGAGAGAUCGAUGGAACGUAUGGUGUAGUAGUGAAAUGCGUUGAUAUCAUACGGAACACCAAAGGCGAAGGCAUUCGAUUGGCACUUUUCUGACGCUGAGAUGCGAAAGCGUGGGUAGCGAAUGGGAUUAGAUACCCGAGUAGUC